CUGAAACUCAUCCAGUAAAUGAGUGAACAUGUGGACCAGACUGACAGGACACCCUGAAGAGAGAAACACAUCAGUUUAGAGUCAUGCUGUCAAUCCAGCACCAACCUGGUGCUCCAGCAUCCGCUGACCUUCGUUCAUCUCCAAGGAUGUGCAAACUGAGGGAGCAGUUCUUCUCUCCACCUUUAAUCACAGAUGGAGAUAUAGAUGGCUUCAAUGUAGAGAUGAGGAGGAAUAUCAGUCCUGGACUCCAUCAACAAUGAGACGACAGAGCGGAGAAAAUCUGCAUAAACAACAAAGCACAGCCUCCAGCCAUCAGAAUCCAAUCACAGCCGCUCAGAGGAACAGGAAAUGGACGUCUCUGGAUUGUGUCUCUUCUCGCUGUCUGUCUGCGUAAUGGGAUUAAAAGGCCAGAUCUGAGCGCUGCCAUGCAGUUCUGCUAGAAUAAACACCAGAGCUGCAGGAGCUCCUGCUCUUGAGUUUGGACGAGCCAGACACGUUAAGUUAAAAUUAAAGCAUUAAUCUGCAGUUUUCAUUUCCCCAGCAUCCGUGAAAGCCCACGCUUGCUAGAACAGCACAUCUGCCCUUAAUAGCUGGAAAUCCUUUUCAGUCGCCUGAGUCAUGGAUGCUGGAUUUUCCUCCAUUCCGAGUGUUUGGGAUCCUCGGAAAAAAGGCCAUGAAGAAUAUUUGUGGCAGAUUUUGGUUUCUGUGCCAGAGUUAUUAUAGUUAACUAAAACCAUCAAAAACAUUUGUGCAACUACAGUAUUUUAUCAUUAUAUAUA
This is a long non-coding RNA of Cyprinus carpio carpio, 779 nucleotides long. The record is from Ensembl. NCBI's taxonomy places the organism in Eukaryota, Metazoa, Chordata, Actinopteri, Cypriniformes, Cyprinidae.